Molecule: ribosomal RNA, 456 nt
Filed under: Triticum aestivum (bread wheat)
Lineage: Eukaryota; Viridiplantae; Streptophyta; Magnoliopsida; Poales; Poaceae
Description: partial small subunit ribosomal RNA
Source: RNAcentral
AUGUGGAAGACGGAUAGAGGGGCGAGGGAGGGGGCAAGCAUAGAGGAUUCUGGCGGUGGUGCUGCUCAGAACGGUGACAAAAGAGGAGGCUACUUUGGUUCUGACCUGCAGCGGCCGGUGUGGCAAGAGAUGGGGUUGGCUGCUAAAGCGGUGAAACAGGGAUUGUUGAAGAACCAACAGCGUGGAUGUUCAGGUAUGGAUUUCUUCAGGACCUUCCAGAUUCAGGAAAAAUAUAUGCAUGCAGAGAACCAUCAUAUUCAGGCCAAUAUGCAACUUGGUGGUGGAGGACGACGCGAGUCGACGAGAUGCACAAUUCCUAUGCUUCAGGCAAUUUCUGAAAACCUGAAAUUAUCGAACAUGCAGAUAAACCAUAUCAACAGUGACCAUUUCAUGCCUGUUGAUAUUUAUCUUCGUCUCCUGGUGUGCAAUUUUUUCAGAUGGACUGCAACGAAUUAG